Molecule: ribosomal RNA, 414 nt
Filed under: uncultured microorganism
Description: bacterial SSU rRNA
Rfam family: Archaeal small subunit ribosomal RNA
Source: RNAcentral
CAGCAGCCGCGGUAAUACCGGCGGCCCGAGUGGCGGUCACUAUUAUUGGGCUUAAAGCGUCCGUAGCCGGGUUGGGAAGUCCUCCGGGAAAUCUGGCCGCUUAACGGUCAGAAUGCCGGAGGAUACUCCCAGCCUAGGGAGCGGGAGAGGCCGAGGGGAUUCCCGGGGUAGGGGUGAAAUCCUAUAAUCCCGGGAGGACCACCUGUGGCGAAGGCGCUCGGCUGGAACGCGUCCGACGGUGAGGGACGAAGGCCAGGGGAGCAAACCGGAUUAGAUACCCGGGUAGUCCUGGCGGUAAACGAUGCGGACUUUGUGUCGGACAAGCUAUGAGCUUGUCCGGUGCCGGAGGGAAACCGUUAAGUCCGCCGCCUGGGGAGUACGGCCGCAAGGCUGAAACUUAAAGGAAUUGGCGGG